This is an RNA transcript of Vigna radiata var. radiata (mung bean), 2174 nucleotides long. RefSeq lists it as uncharacterized. NCBI's taxonomy places the organism in Eukaryota, Viridiplantae, Streptophyta, Magnoliopsida, Fabales, Fabaceae. The transcript is spliced from 6 exons. The record is from RefSeq and is a predicted model, not a curated record.
GAUAGCGCUUUUUAUGGUACGUGCUAGUGAUUAAAAUAUUUCCCACUCCCGCUACUACUCUUCUUGCAAUUUGAUUUUCACUCCAAGCUUCGUCUCGCGCUGCUCUUGCUUUCACUGUGCUGCUCCUUCGCGUUGCUCCUUCGCGCUGCUCCCCGGUUUGAUUCGCGCUUCUCCUCCGUUUGAUCAGUGGUUAGGGCUCCUCUCCUUCGUUUCAUCAGCGUUAGCGCUCCUUCUCCUCCGUUCACAGUACGUUAGGGCUCCUUCUCCUCCGUUCACAGUGCGUUAAGGCCCCAUCCCCUCCGUUUCAUCAGUGCGUUAGGUGCCUUCGGCGGUUCUCCUUCAAUUUGACGUGUACGUCUUUGCUCNCUCCUUCAGUGCACUCCCAUUUCUCCUCCGUUUUAGGACUUCCAUUUUCAGGUGUUGAUCGUGCCAUUGGUGUACUGGGUGUAGAAUCUAUGUUCGCUUCGGGCAAACCCUGAGGGAGAACAACACUCCUCUUGAUUUGAAUGGGGUCCAAUGUCUCACGAUUUUGAGUUUGGUCAUGGAGAACAAGAAAUUCCAGGUAUGGAGAGUUAUUUUAGUGUGAUUGAUUGCUUGUAUGUGGUAUGAUUUGGGAUUUAGAUGUCACUUAUUGGUGAAACCAGCGAUGCAGAAAAUAAUGUGUUCGAUUUGGGAGCAUUUGUCGGUGACCUAGCUUUGGAAGAGGAUCCGAGCACGUUUUCUUUGCUUUAUACCACAUUUAGUUUCAAUUCGUACACUUUGAAGCCUGAAACUUUGGAAUCAAAAUUGCAUUGCUAGUUGAUUCAUGUGUUUCGGUUAACUUUUGCAGCGAUUAUAUAUCGUUGGAAGGACCAGAGCAUCGAUGAAAAUUUUAAUUGCUACUCUAAUUUAUAUUCCUUGUGGUUAGUUUGAGUAUUUGAUAAAAGUGUGGUUGUUUUACCAGCUUUAUGGAUUCAUGUGGUUUGUGCCUUGUAAAUUUUAACAUUAUGUGCAGGAACUUGGAGAGUUGGUGGUAUUCUUGCUGUUUCUCGUGCAUUUGGUGAUAGACUCCUGAAGCAGUAUGUUGUUGCUGGUCUAGAAAUACAGGUGAGUUUACAAUAUAUCUCAUAUUGUUAGAUCCAUAAAUAUCUGUGUACAGAGUGCAUGAUUUACUAUAUGAAACAUCCAUUCAGUAAAUUAGAGACCAAACUCUGCUUCAUAUGUACUAUAGCAAAUCAUAAAAUCGUUUAUAUCUUACUGGACUGGACCGUUUCAAGGCCUCUGAAACUGGAUUGAAGGAAUCUGUAAAUUACCAAGUCAUUUCUCCUUAUGAUCUGGCAAAGUCUGUUAUAUCUGAAGUUAGCUGGUCAAAUUUUCUGAUAUUAUCUUUAUCUUCGUGAUUGGUUUAUGACUAUGUACUCUGCAAUUCUCUCUCCCCUCAACCUUUAUGAAUGGUAGACUGAUUGAUUGGGCCAGGGUGCUGCUACUAGAACAGGAGAGGUUGUUGGAAGGAUGUCAGGUGAUAUUGUUCUUAUUCAAGAUGCCAUGGGUGAAAAUGUAUUAAUUUUAAUGAACCACCUUACAAGUCUUAAACCAUUAUCUUGUCUUUUGAGGUAAAAAUUGUUUCUUUUCAGGUAGGACAGUUCUUACAGUGAUUGACAACUUCCGUUGGAGGUUUUGUAAUAGCAUUCAUCAGGGGAUGGCUUCUAACUGUUUUCAUGUUAUUUUGCAGAUUAUGCAUUUUGCAGAGGCAGGGGAUAAAGCAAGGAAUUUCUUCUAAAAAACAUGCUUAACAUACCUUUAGUUCAAUCUUGUGACGGCUAACAAGUCAACUCAGGUUGAAAAGCAGANGAAGCAAGUGCAGAUUAAACCAAAUGUNGAAAUCUGUCUGUCUCAAUGAUUUAAAGCUUGUUCUUGGACCAGAGUUGAAGAUAGUUUUGAUUAUAAAAUUGCAGUUGUGAACUUUUCUUACACAUACGGUGUGUUCAAAGUUGAGUAUUUUUCUAGUUGCAGAUGCCAACAUUAUCAUGAAAGUCAGAUCAAUGAAGUUAGGGAAAAUUGGUGUUUUCAUGUAAUUAGUACAUAUAGGUUAUGUUAUGGUGAUGUACAGUACUGAUUGGAUAUAUAUGUUAUGGUUGUAUAUAUUAUCUUAUAAAAGCAGUGUCAUGUGAUGACAUGUACUAAACGACUUAAUG